RNAcentral lists this ribosomal RNA (322 nucleotides) under uncultured eukaryote. Its description in RNAcentral is "partial 18S ribosomal RNA". It matches the Rfam family "Eukaryotic small subunit ribosomal RNA", at positions 1470 to 1796 of the family's 1831-position model. The record is from RNAcentral.
CCCUUAGAUGUUCUGGGCCGCACGCGUGCUACACUGAGUGGAUCAGCGGGUCAGGUUGCGCGAAAGUGUUUCCUAAUCUUUAAAUCCGCUCGUGAUGGGGAUUGACGGUUGCAAUUUUCCGUCAUGAACGAGGAAUACCUUGUAAGCGCGGGUCAUCAUCCCGCGCUGAAUACGUCCCUGCCCUUUGUACACACCGCCCGUCGCUCCUACCGAUUGAGUGGUCCGGUGAGGCUUUGGGAUCUGAGUGGAAAGAGCGUUUCGCUGUUUCUGCCCGGAAAACUCAGUCGAACCUUAUCAUUUAGAGGAAGGAGAAGUCGUAACA